Molecule: ribosomal RNA, 315 nt
Filed under: Triticum aestivum (bread wheat)
Lineage: Eukaryota; Viridiplantae; Streptophyta; Magnoliopsida; Poales; Poaceae
Description: partial small subunit ribosomal RNA
Source: RNAcentral
AUGCCUGGCUCUUUGUUUCUCAUUUUUCCGUUUUGUAUAUAUGCUUCCUCUACGCUCACUCUUGUAACUCCGGCGACAGAACAUCCAUCAGCAUGUUGCUCUUGUAUUGUUCAUGCUGGGAGGUGGUCAACUGAUUCGGCCAGAUAUUGGAAACUGGUUCUUGCAUGUUUUUUUAAUUUCUGCAAUUCUUCUGGACAGAUAUUUGAAAGUAUGUGUGUGGAUUUUCAAGACAUGGUGCAGGCUUUGCAUCAUUCCAAGCAUAAGGCAAGAUACACUUGGUUCAAUCUGCAGGCAGUGAGGUCAGCAAAUCAUUAG